ACCUGGCUGGCUCAGUCAGCAGAGCAUGUAAUUCUUGAUCUCGGGAUCGUGAGUUCAAGCCCCAUGUCAGGCA
This 73-nucleotide transfer RNA is filed under the name Felis catus (domestic cat). It matches the Rfam family "tRNA". From Rfam's summary of the family: Transfer RNA (tRNA) molecules are approximately 80 nucleotides in length. Their secondary structure includes four short double-helical elements and three loops (D, anti-codon, and T loops). Lineage: Eukaryota; Metazoa; Chordata; Mammalia; Carnivora; Felidae. The record is from Rfam by way of RNAcentral.